This 539-nucleotide ribosomal RNA is filed under the name uncultured bacterium. RNAcentral's name for it is "bacterial SSU rRNA". It matches the Rfam family "Archaeal small subunit ribosomal RNA", at positions 722 to 1262 of the family's 1478-position model. The record is from RNAcentral.
AGCGAAUAGAUACCCAGGUAGUCCCAGCCGUAAACGAUGCUCGCUAGGUGUCAGGCAUGGCGCGACCGUGUCUGGUGCCGCAGGGAAGCCGUGAAGCGAGCCACCUGGGAAGUACGGCCGCAAGGCUGAAACUUAAAGGAAUUGGCGGGGAGCACAACAACGGGUGGAGCCUGCGGUUUAAUUGGACUCAACGCCGGACAACUCACCGGGGGCGACAGCAAUAUGUAGGCCAAGCUGAAGACUUUGCCUGAAUCGCUGAGAGGAGGUGCAUGGCCGUCGCCAGUUCGUACUGUGAAGCAUCCUGUUAAAGUCAGGCAACGAGCGAGACCCGUGCCCACUGUUACCAGCAUGUCCUCCGGGACGAUGGGUACUCUGUGGGGACCGCCUAUGUUAAAUAGGAGGAAGGUGCGGGCCACGGUAGGUCAGUAUGCCCCGAAUCUCCCGGGCUACACGCGGGCUACAAUGGAUGGGACAAUGGGUCCCUACUCCGAAAGGAGCUGGUAAUCUCACAAACCCAUUCGUAGUUCGGGUCGAGGGCU